RNAcentral lists this ribosomal RNA (380 nucleotides) under uncultured Nitrosomonadales bacterium. Its description in RNAcentral is "bacterial SSU rRNA". It matches the Rfam family "Bacterial small subunit ribosomal RNA", at positions 151 to 526 of the family's 1533-position model. The record is from RNAcentral. Lineage: Bacteria; Pseudomonadati; Pseudomonadota; Betaproteobacteria; Nitrosomonadales.
UCGAAAGAUGUGCUAAUACCGCAUACGACCUGAGGGUGAAAGGGGGGGAUCGCAAGACCUCUCGCUAUUGGAGCGGCCGAUGUCGGAUUAGCUAGUUGGUGGGGUAAAGGCCUACCAAGGCGACGAUCCGUAGCUGGUCUGAGAGGAUGAUCAGCCACACUGGGACUGAGACACGGCCCAGACUCCUACGGGAGGCAGCAGUGGGGAAUUUUGGACAAUGGGGGCAACCCUGAUCCAGCCAUUCCGCGUGAGUGAAGAAGGCCUUCGGGUUGUAAAGCUCUUUUAGUCGGAAAGAAAGAGUUGCAAUGAAUAAUUGUGAUUUAUGACGGUACCGACAGAAAAAGCACCGGCUAACUACGUGCCAGCCGCCGCGGUAAUAC